GUAAUUACUUUCACAUUUAUGUUCUAAUCCCGUUGUUCCGAUUCGAUGUAAAAUUAUGAACUAAAAUUUCUUAAGCAAUAUUAGUUCCGAGAAUGAGAGAGACAAGCGCAGACUUUGUAAAAAGCACGUUAACAUUAAAUUGAAAUAGAAAUAUUAAGACUACGAUAAUAAUUUCAGAAGUGGGAUAGACACCUUUGUAACAUCCGCCUUCAUAAACAUUUUGGCUAUUCGAGAACUUACAAUUUUUUUGCGACUCCAUUUUGGAAUGGACAAGUCGGAAAUUUUAGAGUGGCUUGAAGCCAAGGAAAUCGUGUUCCCAAUAAGUGCAAUUUUAAGACAACUGCGCAAGCUUGCUUUUGACGCCGGUUGCCAGAAUGCGGCUGAUAUCCCGGAAAGAACAUUGGGGGAAGAAGGCGCCAAACUUGAGCUACCCUUAUGGCGGCGUCAGGUAGUGCUUCUUCUUCGUCGAUGUCUUCGCUAGCUGUUACCUUUGAAAGGUAAAAACUAUUUCGUAUAGAUUUGAGCCUCGCUUUUUAAUUUAGUUUUGUCGUGAACUCCAAUAAAUAAGCAAAAUUGUA
Drosophila elegans is the source of this 578-nucleotide long non-coding RNA. RefSeq lists it as uncharacterized. The transcript has 2 exons. The record is from RefSeq and is a predicted model, not a curated record. NCBI's taxonomy places the organism in Eukaryota, Metazoa, Arthropoda, Insecta, Diptera, Drosophilidae.